RNAcentral lists this small nuclear RNA (309 nucleotides) under Octodon degus (degu). RNAcentral's name for it is "7SK RNA (ENSODEG00000023422.1)". It matches the Rfam family "7SK RNA". Rfam says of the family: 7SK was discovered as an abundant small nuclear RNA in the mid-70s but a possible function has only recently been suggested. The record is from Rfam by way of RNAcentral. Lineage: Eukaryota; Metazoa; Chordata; Mammalia; Rodentia; Octodontidae.
GGAUGUGAGGGUGACCUGGCUUGUAGUCAGCAUCAAGGCUGAUUCAGCUGAUCUGGCUGGCUAGGCGGGUGUCCCAUUCCUCUGUCAUGGCUCCACAUGUGUCCCUCCCAAGGCUGAGCACCCUCUGCAGAAGAGGACAACCUUUCCUGACAGAGGGGGACCAUUUCUGCUGUCCAAGGUAUACAAGCAGCUGCCCUCCUCUGCUAGAACCUCCAAACAAGUUCUCAAAAUAAAAACUAAGAAAGGGCUUGGGGGCUGGGGAGAUAUCUCAGUGAUCUAAGCACCUGCCUGGCAAACACAAGGACCCGG